Long non-coding RNA from Brassica napus (rape), 7031 nucleotides. RefSeq lists it as uncharacterized. The transcript has 4 exons. The record is from RefSeq and is a predicted model, not a curated record. NCBI's taxonomy places the organism in Eukaryota, Viridiplantae, Streptophyta, Magnoliopsida, Brassicales, Brassicaceae.
CGAGCUUUGGCUCGGACUUGGUUGCUACGCAGCGACUGGACAGCAUGUAUGCGUGGUAAUUACGCAACGGUCGAGCUUGGUUAGUUUGGUUUGAAUAUUCAAGGAUACUUAUUCGUAAAAACUUCGUGUUUGGUUAUAUUUUACGAAAGUUACAUCUUUCUUUUUACUAUCUCUUUCGGAAAUACGAUCUACGAGGAUUUUCGGUUGGUAAUUCCGUCGUAACCGUUUUUGACCCCAACAAGAUCCAGAGUCGCAAGGACAAGAAGGAAGCAACGCCGUAAGAUAGGAUCGAUGGGUGUGGCUGGGACAAGAAGAAACUGGCGGGGCAAGAAACCAACGGAAAAACGGUGCUGUCGGCUUCCUUGAAUUAACAGUUGAGAUGUCUGAAAACUAGGGUUUGGCGGCUAGGGUGGGGAGAGACACCAGAGAGAAACUGUCUCUCUCUCUUGUUUUUCAGUGUGUUUCUGUUCUCAUAAAAAAUGUUUCUAAUCAUGGAUUUGAAUAAUUGAAAAAAAACCUCACGUAUGCAUGAUGCAUCAACAAAUGACUGGUGAUGGCAGUAUGACAUUUCAGAUAUACUUGAUCGUGUCUGGCUUUGACGUAGGUUUUAGUUUGUUUCCUAAAAGUUCUCCUAGCUGCUCUUGAAAGUUUCAUGAUAGUUUCCUCAAACUUUAAAGCAAUAUGAAAGAUUAAGAAUCCAUCCCAACAGCUAAUAAUGAUGAAACGGGAUCAUGGCAUGUAACAUAUUGUGGUUUGUGUUAGUAUUGUUUUGCGUCAUCAUCAAACUGAUGAAAUCGACAUUUCUUUUUGCAGGAAAAAAUAAUAUAUGACGAUUUGAAGCUCUAACUUCACUACAAGAAAACAUAUUUUUUACGAGGGCGGUAUUCGUUGUAAAUUCGUCGUAAUAGGAGCUUUACGACGAAUUAACAUCGAUACGCGUUUCGUUGUUAAACGCUCGUCGUAACAGAGGUUUCGUCGUAAAGUCCUAGUUACGUUUACGAGGAAGUCAAUUCCUCGUAAAGCGGAAGGAAACUAUUCGUCGUAAUGCCCUCGUAAAUGGCGAUGUAAAUACCUCGUAAUAGUUCGUUGUAAAAGCUACGUAAGGCUUCCACGUAAAGUCGAUGUAAACUUUACGAGGACUUUACAACGACUCCAUGUAAAUUCCUCGUAAAUGUUACGAGGACUUAACGUGGAAUUUUACAACGAAUUUACAUCUCCAUAUUUAAAAUAUUAAUUAAUUAUAAUAAUUAUAUAAAUUUUAUAAAACAAUAAUUUUAAAAUUUAAAAUAUUUGAAAUAAAAUUAAAUAUGAAACCAAAUAUUUUUUUUAAAAAAACUAUAAAUUCAUUAAUUAAAUAGAAUUUAUAUUUUUUAUACAAAACAAAAGAAAUUAAAAAAGGAAACUAAAGGCCAACAUCAUCGUCAUCGAAGUAGUUGGCUGAGGGGUUCGGGUCUGUAGACGUUCCUGCUUCGGGAUCCGGCUGGCUCAUCCCGAGAGCUGCUCGUCUCUCCGCCAAAGCUCUCUGCAAAGUUGGAUUUCCCACCGCCAUCACAUCCAGCAAACCCUCGAGAGAGUCCAAACGCUGCUGCUGGGUAUCCAUGCGAGCCUGCAUCCGGUCGUUGUCCUGGUCCCGUCUCGAAUAGUAUGACGAAGUCGACCUUGCAACUUCGUUAACGGAACCUAUUCCGACCGUCCUUCCCUUCUUUCUAGGAGCCACCUAUAUGUAUAUAUAUAAAAACGUAUUUAGAGUUAAUAAUAAAAAAAAAUAAAAAAAAAUAAAAAAAAAUUAAAAUUAUUAAAUUUUACCUCCUCGAAGAUCCGGUCGACCUCUUCGGUUGACAACUUGACGGGUAAUCCAUCUGCAGACUGUUGGGUAAGUUGCGUCUCUUGCUCUUCAACCCGAGACGCCACAGCGUUGAAGAGUUUCUCGGAUGCAGGAUCCACAAAAACCCCAUCUGGUGAGGCGUGAGUCAUCUUGAAUAAGUCCGAGAGAGAUGGCAAAACUCCUGUCUUCUCCAACUAAUAAAAAACAAUAAUAAAUAAAUUAAAUAUAAUUAAUAAAUACAAGUUUAAAAUAAUGAAAAUUAUAAAUUUAAAUAAAACUUACAGCUUCGAGACGAAUUCCGGCAUGGGGUUUUUGGCCGGUUCUAUGAACCAUGGGCAAAUGGCCAUCUUUAUCCCUCGUUCUUCGGGAAGCGGAGCAGGAGUUGGCUUUGCGGAUGGAGCUGGGUUCGUUCCAAUAGGUGAUGAGGCCAUCCCAUGCUUCCUUUGUGACCUCGCUCGGCUUCCCCUCAUAGCCGUAAAUCUCCCACUUGUCCUUCCAAUCGGAGACGGUAUUGCAAAGACGAGUUUUCGCCUUUGCAAUAAAUUCGCUCUUCACCCUCUCGGUGAUUCCUACGGACCAGUUCCACCUUUGCUGAAAAACAAACAUUUUAAAAGAUUAGAAAAAAAAUAAUAAUUAUUUAAUUAACAAUAUAAAUAUUAAUAAUAUGUAAAUAUAAUUACCGCAAAACAUUUAAACCACGUCGUCUUGACGUGAUCGGGAGUCAUGGUCCAGUUGGGAUAAGGGCCGUCAUAAUAUCUCUUCAUCGUCUCUGAAACGCUCCGGCUAACACGGUUGUUAGCCCCAAACCUGCAAAUAUAACAAAUUUGUUAAAAAAAUUGAUCAAAGAUUUUAAAUUUUAAAUUAAUAAUUUUAUGUACUUACCAAUAAGUACCCGGGGGUCUAUCGGGGUCCAGAACGUGUAAACCCUCUCGUCCGGGCUGGGCAAGCAAAUCCUCGACGGUGUAUCUUGCGAAUGGUGCAUGAGCUGGCACCCGCAAAUCGGGAUGAACUGCAGCCGGUGGGGCAGGCUGAUCUGGGGUGACAGGUGGAGCUGGUGGGGGAGGCAUCUGAGAUGGAAGAGGAGGAGGGGUCGAAGAAACUCUCCGAGAUGUGUGAGAGUCCGGAACUGUCCCGGAAGAAGACGAUGGACCGCUAGAGGAAGAUCCAUCGCCAAACAAAUCCGCAUACGUAGGUGCAGGAGCUGCUGGUCUCGGUCUAGGAGCCAUCUAGAAAAUUUAAAAAAAUUAAAUUAAUAUAUAUCCUAAACGAAUUGUUUAAAAUAAUUUUCUAAACUAAUCAUCUAAACUAAUUCCGUUAACUAAUCACCUAAACUAAUUCCCUAAACUAAUCACCUAAACUAAUCACCUAAACUAACCACCUAAACUAUAAAAAAAAAAAAAGAUAGAGAGAGAAAGUUACCUUAGAGGGGGAGAGGAGUUAGGGAGGAAGAUACGAGCAGUGCUCGUAUGAAAGACUUCUCCCAUAUAUAUAAAAACGGUUUCCUCGUAACUUCGUCGUAAUGUUACGAGGAAGUUACCAGACCCGUGUUUUCGUUUAUGACGAAGUUACCAGGCCCGUAUUUUGGUUUACGACGAAGUUACCAGGCCCGUGUUUUUUCAUUUACGACAAAGUUACCAGACCCGUGUUUUUUCAUUUACGACGAAGUUACUAGGAAAUAGUAUUUUAUGUUACGACGAAUUUACAUGGAAAUAAUAUUUUAUGUUACGACGAAGUUACCAGGCCCGUGUUUUUAUUUACAAUGAAUUUACGAGGAAAGUAUGAAACCCCGAAAAUCAAAUCCCUAAACCCCAAAGUUAUCAUCUUUACCAUUAUCACUCAUUAAUACUUUCAUCCUCUUUAUCCAACUAAAACCCUUAACUUCAACAAAAUAAAAUUUUUACCUUAAGAAAUAGAUAUUAUACAAGACAACUUAUAGUACACAUACAUUAAGUAUCUCACUUAAGCAAUAAAAAACAACAUUGGGUACAAUAUUUUGUAAAGAUAAAAACAACAUUUGUUACAUAUAUUACAUCAUUCUGAAUCGUUUGAGUUCUCAUCAACAUCUGAACAGUCAUCGUCAUCACUACAAUCGAACUCGUCUUCACGUGCUUCAUCUGUCGCAUCUUCGGGAAGAUCUUCAUAUUGAUGGUUAUUUGGGUCGAUCAGAAGAAUUUCAUCAAGUUGUUGAUCAGGAACCUCAACUUCAUUAAUAGCAUCUUCUUCUUGCAAUGGUGGUUCUUCUCCAGCAACAAUUCGUCCACGAGGUGUAAUUUUGAUAGUAGCCAACCAAUUAAUCCCAGAACUUCGAAGGCGAGGGUAUGGAAGAAAGCUAACUUGUUCAGCCUGGGAAGCUAGGAUGAAAGGCUCGAAUUUGUUGUAUCUUCUCCCAGAGUUGACAUCCACAACACCAAUUGGUGUUGAGAUAUGGAGGAGGGCUAUCUCUGACAACUGUUGUCCGGUUUCCUCCACGCGGCACCGUUUCCAGAGCUCCAUAAUAAUCAAUUUCUGCUAGGAUCUGUUGUCCGGUGAGAUAUGGAGGAGGACUAUCUCUGACAACUUUUUUGUAUCUAAACAAUGUCUUAUUUCUUCGGUACGGAUGGGAGAUGGGAAGAAAUCGACGAUGACAAUCAAACCAACAACUCUUUCUACCAUUCUUCAGUUGAAAAUCAUCUGUCGAUCCAUGACAAAUUGGACAAGAUAAUCUUCCAUGAGUUGUCCACCCAGACAAUAUCCCAUAAGCAGGAAAGUCACUAAUCGUCCAACUCCGUAUCUCGUAGAUAUUGCAUCCAUCAGCCAUUUUUUUUUGUUGUGUUUUUCAGUUUGGUAGGUAAAGGUUUAACAAGUAUUUUACAAUGCAAUGUAUUACUACAGAUUUACAACUUUUUUACAAGGAUUUUACAUCCACUUUACAAGGAAUUUAGUUAGGUAUAAAGCACACUUAAUACACGUUUCGACCAAGUAUAACGGUAACCCGAUUCGUUGUAAAAUACUUGUUAAAUUACAACGCCAUUACGAGGAAAUAUAAGGAAAUAGGAUUCCUCGUAAAGUCCUUGUAACAUUACAACGUCUUUACGAGGAAAGAUAAGGAAACAGGAUUCGUCGUAAAGUCUUUGUUGCAUUACAAAGCGUUUACGUGGAAUUUAAUUUUUCACGUAAAAGCGUUGUAACUUUACAACGACUUUACGACGAAACAGUUUCGUUGUAAUAUUACAUCCGCUUUACGACGAAACUGCUUUUCGUCGUAACGUCGACGUAAUCUACUUGUAAAUUUACGAGGAAUUAUGUUCGUUGUAAAACUUCGUUGUAAAGCCAGUGUUUUCUUGUAGUGCUUAUUUUAGCAUUGAAAUGAUUUAUUAUAUUUGACUAACUCGUGGAUCGGUCAGUCGGUCACGGUUGGCAUGAUAAAACCCUAAAUCUGACCCUAGUUCUAGAAUAUUAUUGUAAGGUUUGUAGUGCUAGUUAGCUAAAAUGUUUUUUAGAGCAUGUGCAUUGGGGUCUCUUAGAUGGGUUUGUUAAGGGAAUUAGCAAUUAAAAGAAAAGAUAAAUUGCCAUUAACUUAAGGGACAUAUUCUAAAUAGGGGGUGGAAGCAACGCCUCUUGUGGGCCACGUGUUGGUACAGUAUUGGAGGUGUGAUUUUGAGAGAAAAACAAAAGAUGAAGGCGACGAAGAAGACAGUGGAUUCCGCGAGAAAGAGUCUCGGUGCUCUCACCGUGGAAGAAUCCCGUCUGUGGCUUUCGUAACCAAAAAAUCGUCGGAGAGUUUCGUCGACGACCAAUUUCCGUGGCUCUCCUCGACGAAGAACCUCGGUGGCGUUGCUCGUAGAAGAAUCUCGGUGGCCAUGAGCGUCGGAGAAUCUCUGUGGCUCUCCUCGACGGAGGAAAUCGGUGGCUCUCCUUUACAAACAAACUCCUCGGUCGGCGCCAAGUUAAAUCGAAAGCUCUUCCCUCACAUGGCAAGUAAGAACCACCGAGAUUGAGAAGAAGAAAGAAAGAACCGAUAGUGGUUUGUUUUGGCGAGGAGCAAUGGCGGAGCUGCGUCACUCCAGCUCUUGGAAGCCUUGCACUGAGCGGCGCAUUGGUGGAGUCUCUGGUAUAUUAGAAAAUGUUCUGUAAUGCAGUUGUUGUUGCCAAGAUUAAGAAUGCAACUCUGAUUCUACUAGUACUGAAGCAUGACCAAAUCGUUAAGACACUGGAGACCAUCAAAAGAGUGAGUCCGAGAAGGGCUCUAUUAAUGGGAAUGGCUCAGGCGUUUGGUCACCACAAAUCUUUCAGGUAAAACUUUUCCUCUGGUCGGCUCUUGUAGUUUUGUGAUCAGGCUCUUGUAGUUUUGUGGUCAGCUCUUGUAGUUUUGUGGCCAGGCUCUUGUAAUUUUAUGGUCAGGCUCUUGUAGUUUUGUGGUAGGGCUCUUGUAAUUUUGUGGUCAGCUCUUGUAGUCUGCUGCUUGUUUUGUAGUGGACUUGGUUUUGUUGUAUCACGUGUGUAUCAAACCUUUUGAUCUUGUUUUGUUGUAUCACAGACCGUUUGUUGUAAUGAAAGCAUCAGUCAUCAUCUCUCUUUAUAAAACAUCAUAGUCUUCUUCUCUACUCCGUGUGUAUCAAACUUCAUCUCUCUUUUUUCACUUUAUUUUUCGGGUUCUUUCAUUUGAGAUUUCUUCUUCAAUCACAGACCACAAAUAUAUGGUUUUAUGAAUUUUCAUUUGAGAUUUCUUCUUCAAAAAAGAUUGAGAUUUCUCCUCUUCUUCUUAAAUCACAAAGUUUCUUUCCCAUUCUAUUCUUGUAUUCACAAAGUUUCUUUCCCAUUCUCCUCUUGUUCUUCAUUUAUUCACAAAGUCUAAAACAUAUAUGGCAUCUUCUUCUCAUAAUACUUUUGGAGAGUCAAUUGAUCAAACUUUCGAUUAAUAUUUUGAUCAACAUUUUGAUCAACAUUUUGAUCAAACAUUUGAAAAUCUGUUCAUUGAUCAUGGUGAUCAAGAAGAUGAAAGAAAGAGAAGAAAAAAACGAGUUUUUAUCGAACGAAAUCGUGAAGAAGGUCAUCUCCGGUUAUGGAAUGAUUAUUUCAGCGACACUCCAACAUAUCCCGAAAUUAUUAUCGUUUGUUUCCAUACUAAGUUUUUUUAUGUUUUUAUGUUUCUAUUUUAAUAUCUAUGUUUAAAAUGUUAAGUUUGACUUUGCUUUGUUCAAUAAAUAAAUUUAAUCUUUGUUUCAAA